GACGAACGCUGGCGGCGUGCUUAACACAUGCAAGUCGAACGGAAAGGCCCUGCUUUUGUGGGGUGCUCGAGUGGCGAACGGGUGAGUAACACGUGAGUAACCUGCCCUUGACUUUGGGAUAACUUCAGGAAACUGGGGCUAAUACCGGAUAGGAGCUCCUGCUGCAUGGUGGGGGUUGGAAAGUUUCGGCGGUUGGGGAUGGACUCGCGGCUUAUCAGCUUGUUGGUGGGGUAGUGGCUUACCAAGGCUUUGACGGGUAGCCGGCCUGAGAGGGUGACCGGCCACAGGGGGACGGAGAUACGGCCCAGACUCCUACGGGGGGCAGCAGGGGGGAAUAUGGAACAAGGGCGGAAGCCUGAUGCAGCAACGCCGCGUGCGGGAUGACGGCCUUCGGGUUGUAAACCGCUUUCGCCUGUGACGAAGCGUGAGUGACGGUAAUGGGUAAAGAAGCACCGGCUAACUACGUG
RNAcentral lists this ribosomal RNA (467 nucleotides) under uncultured bacterium. RNAcentral's name for it is "partial 16S ribosomal RNA". It matches the Rfam family "Bacterial small subunit ribosomal RNA", at positions 28 to 507 of the family's 1533-position model. The record is from RNAcentral.